UCUGGCGAUGAUGACACACUUGCCCUCACUGAGAACGCUGUUCAGUAAUGAGAACCUCACCUUGUACUCAGAGGAGCUGAGCCAGA
Molecule: small nucleolar RNA, 86 nt
Filed under: Chelonoidis abingdonii (Abingdon island giant tortoise)
Lineage: Eukaryota; Metazoa; Chordata; Testudines; Testudinidae
Description: Small nucleolar RNA SNORD103/SNORD85 (ENSCABG00000003633.1)
Rfam family: Small nucleolar RNA SNORD103/SNORD85
About the family: This family includes the snoRNAs SNORD103 (U103) and SNORD85 (HBII-251) . The members of this family belong to the C/D class of snoRNAs which contain the C (UGAUGA) and D (CUGA) box motifs.
Source: Rfam by way of RNAcentral